This 2860-nucleotide ribosomal RNA is filed under the name Acinetobacter baumannii. RNAcentral's name for it is "bacterial LSU rRNA". It matches the Rfam family "Bacterial large subunit ribosomal RNA". The record is from RNAcentral. Lineage: Bacteria; Pseudomonadati; Pseudomonadota; Gammaproteobacteria; Moraxellales; Moraxellaceae.
GUUGUAUAGUCAAGUAAUUAAGUGCAUGUGGUGGAUGCCUUGGCAGUCAGAGGCGAUGAAAGACGUGAUAGCCUGCGAAAAGCUCCGGGGAGGCGGCAAAUAUCCUUUGAUCCGGAGAUGUCUGAAUGGGGGAACCCACCUACUUUAAGGUAGGUAUUGCAACAUGAAUACAUAGUGUUGCAAGGCGAACGAGGGGAAGUGAAACAUCUCAGUACCCUUAGGAAAAGAAAUCAAUUGAGAUUCCCUCAGUAGCGGCGAGCGAACGGGGAUCAGCCCAUUAAGUUAUGUGUGUUUUAGUGGAACGCUCUGGGAAGUGCGAACGUAGAGGGUGAUAUUCCCGUACACGAAAGGGCACACAUAAUGAUGACGAGUAGGGCGAGGCACGUGAAACCUUGUCUGAAUAUGGGGGGACCAUCCUCCAAGGCUAAAUACUCCUGACUGACCGAUAGUGAACCAGUACCGUGAGGGAAAGGCGAAAAGAACCCCUGUGAGGGGAGUGAAAUAGAUCCUGAAACCGCAUGCAUACAAGCAGUGGGAGCACCUUCGUGGUGUGACUGCGUACCUUUUGUAUAAUGGGUCAGCGACUUAUAUUCAGUAGCAAGGUUAACCGUAUAGGGGAGCCGUAGAGAAAUCGAGUCUUAAUAGGGCGUUUAGUUGCUGGGUAUAGACCCGAAACCAGGCGAUCUAUCCAUGAGCAGGUUGAAGGUUGGGUAACACUAACUGGAGGACCGAACCCACUGUCGUUGAAAAGCCAGGGGAUGACUUGUGGAUAGGGGUGAAAGGCUAAUCAAGCCUGGUGAUAGCUGGUUCUCCCCGAAAGCUAUUUAGGUAGCGCCUCGGACGAAUACCAUAGGGGGUAGAGCACUGUUUCGGCUAGGGGGUCAUCCCGACUUACCAAACCGAUGCAAACUCCGAAUACCUAUGAGUACUAUCCGGGAGACAGACUGCGGGUGCUAACGUCCGUAGUCAAGAGGAAAACAAUCCAGACCGCCAGCUAAGGCCCCAAAAUCAUAGUUAAGUGGGAAACGAUGUGGGAAGGCAUAGACAGCUAGGAGGUUGGCUUAGAAGCAGCCACCCUUUAAAGAAAGCGUAAUAGCUCACUAGUCGAGUCGGCCUGCGCGGAAGAUGUAACGGGGCUAAAACUAUGUGCCGAAGCUGCGGAUNNNAUGCUGGAGGUAUCAGAAGUGCGAAUGCUGACGUGAGUAACGACAAAACGGGUGAAAAACCCGUUCGCCGAAAGACCAAGGGUUCCAGUCCAACGUUAAUCGGGGCUGGGUGAGUCGACCCCUAAGGCGAGGCCGAAAGGCGUAGUCGAUGGGAAAAUGGUUAAUAUUCCAUUACUUCUGUGUAAUGCGAUGAGAGGACGGAGAAGGCUAAAUCAGCCUGGCGUUGGUUGUCCAGGUGAAAGGAUGUAGGCAUGUAUCUUAGGCAAAUCCGGGGUACUCUAUGCUGAGAUCUGAUAGCAAGCUGUACUUGUACAGCGAAGUGGUUGAUGCCAUGCUUCCAGGAAAAGUCUCUAAGCUUCAGUUACACAGGAAUCGUACCCGAAACCGACACAGGUGGUCAGGUCGAGUAGACCAAGGCGCUUGAGAGAACUCUGCUGAAGGAACUAGGCAAAAUGGUACCGUAACUUCGGGAGAAGGUACGCUGUUGUUGGUGAUGGAACUCGCUUCCUGAGCUGACGACAGCCGCAGAAACCAGGCCGCUGCAACUGUUUAUUAAAAACAUAGCACUCUGCAAACACGAAAGUGGACGUAUAGGGUGUGAUGCCUGCCCGGUGCUGGAAGGUUAAUUGAUGGGGUUAGCGUAAGCGAAGCUCUUGAUCGAAGCCCCAGUAAACGGCGGCCGUAACUAUAACGGUCCUAAGGUAGCGAAAUUCCUUGUCGGGUAAGUUCCGACCUGCACGAAUGGCAUAAUGAUGGCGGCGCUGUCUCCAGCAGAGGCUCAGUGAAAUCGAAAUCGCUGUGAAGAUGCAGUGUACCCGCGGCUAGACGGAAAGACCCCGUGAACCUUUACUGCAGCUUGACACUGAACUUUGACCUUACUUGUGUAGGAUAGGUGGGAGGCUUUGAAGCUGGAACGCUAGUUCCAGUGGAGCCGUCCUUGAAAUACCACCCUGGUAAUGUUGAGGUUCUAACUCUGUCCCGUGAUCCGGGACGAGGACCGUGUCUGGUGGGUAGUUUGACUGGGGCGGUCUCCUCCUAAAGAGUAACGGAGGAGUACGAAGGUGCGCUCAGCGUGGUCGGAAAUCACGCGUAGAGUAUAAAGGCAAAAGCGCGCUUAACUGCGAGACCCACAAGUCGAGCAGGUACGAAAGUAGGUCUUAGUGAUCCGGUGGUUCUGUAUGGAAGGGCCAUCGCUCAACGGAUAAAAGGUACUCUGGGGAUAACAGGCUGAUACCGCCCAAGAGUUCAUAUCGACGGCGGUGUUUGGCACCUCGAUGUCGGCUCAUCUCAUCCUGGGGCUGAAGCAGGUCCCAAGGGUAUGGCUGUUCGCCAUUUAAAGAGGUACGCGAGCUGGGUUUAGAACGUCGUGAGACAGUUCGGUCCCUAUCUACCGUGGGCGCUGGAAAUUUGAGAGGAUCUGCUCCUAGUACGAGAGGACCAGAGUGGACGAACCUCUGGUGUACCGGUUGUGACGCCAGUCGCAUCGCCGGGUAGCUAUGUUCGGAAGGGAUAACCGCUGAAAGCAUCUAAGCGGGAAGCCUACCUCAAGAUAAGAUUUCCCUAGGACUUUAUGUCCUCUAAAGAGCCGUUCGAGACUAGGACGUUGAUAGGUUGGAUGUGGAAGCAUAGUGAUAUGUGAAGCUGACCAAUACUAAUUGCUCGUGAGGCUUGACUAUACAACACCCAAGCAGUUG